This is a non-coding RNA of Phthorimaea operculella (potato tuberworm), 79 nucleotides long. The record is from the annotation of a GenBank genome assembly. Lineage: Eukaryota; Metazoa; Arthropoda; Insecta; Lepidoptera; Gelechiidae.
GAUCUUAUGUGGCGCAGUGGUUACUACCUAUGUCUGCCUGCCACGCAGAAGGUUCCGGGUUCAAUUCCCGGUGGGAUCA